RNAcentral lists this ribosomal RNA (465 nucleotides) under uncultured Klebsiella sp. RNAcentral's name for it is "bacterial SSU rRNA". It matches the Rfam family "Bacterial small subunit ribosomal RNA", at positions 338 to 795 of the family's 1533-position model. Lineage: Bacteria; Pseudomonadati; Pseudomonadota; Gammaproteobacteria; Enterobacterales; Enterobacteriaceae. The record is from RNAcentral.
CCUACGGGUGGCAGCAGUGGGGAAUAUUGCACAAUGGGCGCAAGCCUGAUGCAGCCAUGCCGCGUGUGUGAAGAAGGCCUUCGGGUUGUAAAGCACUUUCAGCGGGGAGGAAGGCGGUGAGGUUAAUAACCUCAUCGAUUGACGUUACCCGCAGAAGAAGCACCGGCUAACUCCGUGCCAGCAGCCGCGGUAAUACGGAGGGUGCAAGCGUUAAUCGGAAUUACUGGGCGUAAAGCGCACGCAGGCGGUCUGUCAAGUCGGAUGUGAAAUCCCCGGGCUCAACCUGGGAACUGCAUUCGAAACUGGGAGGCUAGAGUCUUGUAGAGGGGGGUAGAAUUCCAGGUGUAGCGGUGAAAUGCGUAGAGAUCUGGAGGAAUACCGGUGGCGAAGGCGGCCCCCUGGACAAAGACUGACGCUCAGGUGCGAAAGCGUGGGGAGCAAACAGGAUUAGAUACCCGAGUAGUC